Molecule: ribosomal RNA, 1008 nt
Filed under: metagenome
Description: bacterial LSU rRNA
Rfam family: Bacterial large subunit ribosomal RNA
Source: RNAcentral
GUAAACGGCGGCCGUAACUAUAACGGUCCUAAGGUAGCGAAAUUCCUUGUCGGGUAAGUUCCGACCUGCACGAAUGGCGUAACGAGGGCCACACUGUCUCCACCCGAGACUCAGUGAAAUUGAAAUUGCUGUUAAGAUGCAGUAUACCCGCGGCCAGACGGAAAGACCCCGUGCACCUUUACUACAGCUUUGCAUUGAACUCUGAUCCUACCUGUGUAGGAUAGGUGGGAGACUUUGAAACUUUAACGCUAGUUAGAGUGGAGUCAUCCUUGAAAUACCACCCUGGUAUGGUUGGGGUUCUAACCUUGGUCCGUUAUCCGGAUUGGGGACAAUGCAUGGUGGGUAGUUUGACUGGGGCGGUCUCCUCCCAAAGAGUAACGGAGGAGCGCAAAGGUACCCUCAGCACGGUCGGACAUCGUGCAAUGAGCGCAAAGGUAAAAGGGUGCUUGACUGCGAGACUGACACGUCGAGCAGGUAGGAAACUAGGUCUUAGUGAUCCGGUGGUUCUGAGUGGAAGGACCAUCGCUCAACGGAUAAAAGGUACGCCGGGGAUAACAGGCUGAUACCGCCCAAGAGUUCACAUCGACGGCGGUGUUUGGCACCUCGAUGUCGGCUCAUCACAUCCUGGGGCUGAAGCAGGUCCCAAGGGUAUGGCUGUUCGCCAUUUAAAGUGGUACGCGAGCUGGGUUUAGAACGUCGUGAGACAGUUCGGUCCCUAUCUACCGUGGGCGUUGGAGACUUGAGGGAAGCUGUUCUUAGUACGAGAGGACCGGAAUGGACACACCUCUGGUGUUUCGGUUAUGACGCCAGUCGUAUUGCCGAGUAGCUAUGUGUGGAAAGGAUAACCGCUGAAAGCAUCUAAGCGGGAAGCCCCUCCCAAGAUUAGGUCUCCCUGACAGUUUAACUGUCCUAAAGAUCCCUCGGAGACUACGAGGUUGAUAGGCACGGUGUGGAAGAGUAGUGAUACUUGAAGCUAACGUGUACUAAUUGAUCGUGAGGCUUGACCAU